Molecule: ribosomal RNA, 497 nt
Filed under: uncultured bacterium
Lineage: Bacteria
Description: partial 16S ribosomal RNA
Rfam family: Bacterial small subunit ribosomal RNA
Source: RNAcentral
GAUGAACGCUGGCGGCGUGCCUAAUACAUGCAAGUCGAGCGAACGGACGAGAAGCUUGCUUUUCUGAUGUUAGCGGCGGACGGGUGAGUAACACGUGGAUAACCUACCUAUAAGACUGGGAUAACUUCGGGAAACCGGAGCUAAUACCGGAUAAUAUUUUGAACCGCAUGGUUCAAAAGUGAAAGACGGUCUUGCUGUCACUUAUAGAUGGAUCCGCGCUGCAUUAGCUAGUUGGUAAGGUAACGGCUUACCAAGGCAACGAUGCAUAGCCGACCUGAGAGGGUGAUCGGCCACACUGGAACUGAGACACGGUCCAGACUCCUACGGGAGGCAGCAGUAGGGAAUCUUACGCAAUGGGCGAAAGCCUGACGGAGCAACGCCGCGUGAGUGAUGAAGGUCUUCGGAUCGUAAAACUCUGUUAUUAGGGAAGAACAUAUGUGUAAGUAACUGUGCACAUCUUGACGGUACCUAAUCAGAAAGCCACGGCUAGCUACGUG